Molecule: ribosomal RNA, 87 nt
Filed under: uncultured fungus
Lineage: Eukaryota; Fungi
Description: partial 5.8S ribosomal RNA
Rfam family: 5.8S ribosomal RNA
About the family: 5.8S ribosomal RNA (5.8S rRNA) is a component of the large subunit of the eukaryotic ribosome. It is transcribed by RNA polymerase I as part of the 45S precursor that also contains 18S and 28S rRNA.
Source: RNAcentral
AAUCGCAGAAUUCAGUGAAUCAUCGAAUCUUUGAACGCACAUUGCGCCCCUUGGUAUCCCGAGGGGCAUGCCUGUUCGAGCGUCAUU